This is a long non-coding RNA of Hibiscus syriacus, 399 nucleotides long. RefSeq lists it as uncharacterized. NCBI's taxonomy places the organism in Eukaryota, Viridiplantae, Streptophyta, Magnoliopsida, Malvales, Malvaceae. The record is from RefSeq and is a predicted model, not a curated record. The transcript is spliced from 3 exons.
UAGCGAUAAAUUCGUUGCCUUUGCCCAUACUCGUUUUCAAAGUCCCAAACUUUCUAUAUAAAUACAGAUACUGUCGAGUCGUCUUCAUAUUCAUCUACUUGUGUCGAAAAACAGUCAUAAAGAAAUACAAAAAAAAAAUGGAAAUCAAAGGUUUUUUUACUGUGUUUUGGUCUUGUUUUUCUUGGGGUUUCAAGGAUGUGUUGAUGGAAGGUUAUUAGCUGAACCCAAACCUGAUAGAGAGGCUAAUGCUGCCUAUGCUCGUUGGUUGGUGUCUCAGAAUUCUUGGGGGAUUUUAAAUACAAUAUCAAUUGAAUUGGAAGGGUCGCCAUUUGGGAAUGUUGUCUCGUUUAGUGAUGGGGUACCCAGCAAAAGCACCGGUGUCCCAUAUUUCUAUUUGAC